RNAcentral lists this ribosomal RNA (449 nucleotides) under uncultured bacterium. RNAcentral describes it as "partial 16S ribosomal RNA". It matches the Rfam family "Bacterial small subunit ribosomal RNA", at positions 29 to 523 of the family's 1533-position model. The record is from RNAcentral.
AGCGAACGCUGGCGGCAGGCCUAACACAUGCAAGUCGAACGGACCCUUCGGGGUUAGUGGCGGACGGGUGAGUAACACGUGGGAACGUGCCUUUAGGUUCGGAAUAGCUCCUGGAAACGGGUGGUAAUGCCGAAUGUGCCCUUCGGGGGAAAGAUUUAUCGCCUUUAGAGCGGCCCGCGUCUAAUUAGCUAGUUGGUGAGGUAAUGGCUCACCAAGGCGACGAUCAGUAGCUGGUCUGAGAGGAUGACCAGCCACACUGGGACUGAGACACGGCCCAGACUCCUACGGGAGGCAGCAGUGGGGAAUCUUGCGCAAUGGGCGAAAGCCUGACGCAGCCAUGCCGCGUGAAUGAUGAAGGUCUUAGGAUUGUAAAAUUCUUUCACCGGGGACGAUAAUGACGGUACCCGGAGAAGAAGCCCCGGCUAACUUCGUGCCAGCAGCCGCCGCAG